RNAcentral lists this ribosomal RNA (592 nucleotides) under Mitrocomella polydiademata. Its description in RNAcentral is "partial 16S ribosomal RNA". It matches the Rfam family "Bacterial large subunit ribosomal RNA", at positions 1833 to 2597 of the family's 2925-position model. Lineage: Eukaryota; Metazoa; Cnidaria; Hydrozoa; Leptothecata; Mitrocomidae. The record is from RNAcentral.
GCCCUAGAUAGUAUCUAAGGUGUAACCUGCCCAGUGGUUUCUAAUACAAGAAAUAAAAAUUCUAUAAAGAAACUAAAAGGACGCGGUAACCUUGACCGUGGUAAUGUAGCAUAAUCACUCGCCAUUUAAUUGGUGGAUAGUAUGAAUGGUUGAACGAAUAUUCCGCUGUCUUAGAAAGAAGCACAAGAAAUUGAAAUAAUAGUUAAGAUGCUAUUUUUAACUGUAAGACGAAAAGACCCUAUAGAGCUUAACUAUAAUCUUCUUAUCAUAAAAGAAAAUAAAUUCUAUAUUUAAGAAGAUUGGUAGUUUAGUUGGGGCGACUGUCUUUUAUAACAAACAAAGACAAGCAAUGUUAAUAAAAAACUUAUUGUAUAACUAAAAUGUUUAACAAUUAUAAAAAUAGGCUAUAAUGACCCGUUAUUACUCUAUAAAAAGAAUAACGAUCAAUUAAUAAAAGCUACCUUAGGGAUAACAGGAUAAUUUCAUUUUAGAGUUCCUAUCGAAAAUGAAGUUUGUCACCUCUAUGUUGAAUUAAGAUAUCCUGAUAAUGCAGCAGUUAUCAAAGGUAGGUCUGUUCGACCUUUAAAAUCUU